Neocloeon triangulifer is the source of this 3337-nucleotide RNA transcript. It is a transcript of the gene named rhomboid-related protein 2, with no coding region annotated. The transcript is spliced from 13 exons. NCBI's taxonomy places the organism in Eukaryota, Metazoa, Arthropoda, Insecta, Ephemeroptera, Baetidae. The record is from RefSeq and is a predicted model, not a curated record.
CGGGAUUUGGAAGGGCGAUCAGCAGGAGAAAAGCUAAACAUUUGAUUCGGUGCGAAAUAUUGUUGAAAAAGUUGAUGGAAUCGGCGUUUUUAGUUUGAAACAGACGCAAUGACCGAGUCACUCACUUCUUUGGACGAUGAUUUGGAACGGCUGCACAGUCUUCCAAGGGAUGAGGUCAUGAGCUACCUUGAUAAAAAGCUGCCCACACUUCUGGAGUGUCUGAAAGAUUGUCAAAAUGAUCCUGCCGACGCUGUCAAAUCCUCUUGCAUCCUUUUCGACCACUGCCUUCAGUGCUGCGAAAGUAUCUCAAAAGCGGAGAAGUUAUUUCUCGGUUCAGCUCUUCCUCUGCUCAACCAACUCUUCGAAGAGAUUUAUUCGGGCAUUUCUAAGCAAGUCGAAGCCCAGAUCUUUGAAGUUGUUGACGGACUUCUGCAGGUCCUGAUAACGUUGGUGGGGUGCACAAAAAACUGUGUCCAGUUUUACUCAAAUUUUGAGAAAAUCCCAGCCGCAGAUAUGGAGCUUUUCAACACAUCGGUAAUGCCAUUGGUUCUAAAAGCUGUUGACCAUUGCAGCAAUAGCAAAAUUAUAUAUCAGUCUUUUGCUGAGACAUUAGCUGAUGAAUUGGCAUGUUUCACCAGAGAAGUUGGAGACCUCAUGACUAGACUUGUUUUGCUGUAUAAAGACGUGGUCACCUUUGACCCUGUUGAAAGAGAGUAUGAAAUAGUUGUUCUCUGUGCAGUUGCUGAAUUUUUUGGCGAAAUCGGCACGUUUUCGCAAAUAUUCAACGUUCGAAUCAUGACGGAGUGUUGGAAAAUGUUCAGCUUGUUGACCGGAACUCACUCUGAUUGUCUGGUGCCAAUUCUAAAAGUAGAUGUGCCUGUUUCUUACCUUUGCAAAGAAAUCCUCAGAUUGAAAAAGUCUGCCGUGGAAGAGGAAACUGAUGAGAAAACAGCAGAGCGGAUCCUAAAAGUUGCAAGCUUUCUGCUACGACUUCUGGUAAAUCUUUUGGAAUCUGGUUAUUCAAAGUCUUUGAGUGGCAGUGUCGAGGACCUGGUGCAAUUAAUUGUCUCCCUUCAAAAGUCUUCCGAACAAGUUCUGAAAAUUACUGGUGAAAAAGUCUCUAGGUCUGAAAUGGUUAACCGUCAACUGGUCAUUGGUGUUAGUUCUCUUGUCAGCGCACUCGUAGAUCACAAGAGAUUUUCUGAGAUAAUUUGCAAUUCUCUAUCGAAAUCAAAAAUGGAGCCCGUCAGUGAACUCUUGCUAGUGUCCACUAUUUUACAAGAAGCAGCAAAUUGCUCUCCAGAAGCUCGCAGUCACUGGAUAGCCCCAGAUGAAAAUUUAUUGAAACUUCAAAUGGAAUUGAUAGAAGAAUGUCCUUUCUCUCUGGCCCAAGUUUCAUCAGACUUGUCCGAGGCCAUUUACGAGGCAUGCUUGUCCUCCAGCUGCACUUUUGGCGUUUCUAUGACGGCUGACGAGUUCCUUGUGGUCGAGAAAACCCUGCUGUCCACCCUUUGCAGCUCACCGUCCACGCCGUGGCCCUGGAUUUUGGCAUCAGAUCUCUGGGUUUGCUUGGUCCGCAGUGCAGGCCCAGCUCUCUGCCUCGAACACAUUAAACUUUUGAGAUCCAUCAAAAUGUCCAUGCCAGAUGGUCCUCAGCAAAAAAUGAUCAGCACUUUGGAGCAUCGACUGACGCAAAUUUUGCCACAAGCAUCAGUUUCAGCAAUUGAGGUCACAUUGACUCAGUACGAGGUGCACAAAGUCACAAUAAAAGCCCUUCAACAAAUCGUUAGCCAGCCUUCGCAGAAUUCCUUCUGUGAGUGUCUUUCAGCCUUGGAUUUAAUAAUUGCAAAAAAGCCACACAACCAGCUUUUGACCCCGUUGCUACAACUUUUACCCUUCUGUCAGGACGGAGGGAUUGGUGAACAGUUUGGUAUCAAGGUUCUUGAAGCUUUGGUACUCUACGCAGAUGAAAUGGACAACCAGCAGCUAGAAACGGUGCUGACACAGUUUCCGUUUCUCCUUCCAGCCUCUUUGCGAAUAAAGUCCAUCAAGUUCAUCUCCAUACUGUCCAGUCGAACCCUAGCCAAGGACGGCCGACAACCAACAGUGAUCCGCUUGAUUUCCGAGGCCUUCAAUGACCUCCUGCAGAAUUUCAAUCCUGUUGUUCGAGAAUUUGCUUUGAAAGCUUUUGCCACUUUUGCGCACUGCUCACCACACGAGGAAGUCGUUCCGAUGGCAGUCGUAAGUUCGAAAGAGCUCCAAACAAAAGUGUCCACCUAUAUUCAGAAAAGCGCCUGUCCUUCAAGAAUCUCGGCCUUUGAGGAGCUUCGGAGACUGGCAAAGAUCAGAAGGCCUACUGAGAAGGAAUUCAGAGUUGAUUUUGCAGAAAAAGUUGCUCCAGACUUCAGCAGCUUAAAUGAUGAUGACUUUUUUGACCUGGAGGAUGAUGAGCUCCUUUUGGAGACAAGCCAGAGGUCCGAUCCACAAUCUCCGACGCGCAGCAGUAAACCUGAGGAGAUUGUGCUGAGUGAUGGAGUUGGGAGCAGCCAUCAAGAGCCUGCAGGUUUUUCCUCCGACUUGUCCCAGAUGUCUGCGAGAGAGGACGAGGGCGAACCUCAGGUGUUUGAAUUAACAUCGUUGGUGAACUCUUUAGUGAAAACUUUCAAGAAGGAACGAUUGUGCCCAACAGACACAAAGAAAAUCAGAAGGGCCAUUGUGAAGUUGCAGGGUAUUCUAGAGGAACCACUGUGAAAGAAAAUAUGCCAUAUUUAACGGAUUGUUUUUCGGACGCUGACACGCUCAAUUUUUUCUUUUAAAAGCCCUCGGGGUGUAAAUAUUUUAAAAUAAGAUUUGAUUUUAAUCUGAAAAAUUUUAAAUGAUCGUUUUGAAAUUUUUUUUGCCCACAUAUUUAAAUAUCUAUUUUAGUUUUUAUCUGAAAAAAAGAUUUGGUCGCAAAUUGUAUUGUACUAAGCGCAAGCGGGCACCUGUUUGAAUAAGUAGCGCUACCGCUCCUGUUGUGAAAGCGCGCGACCCUCCCCUCUCCCUCCAUCAAACUGUUUAUUUUUUUACCUGAAAUUAAAGCUAACUUGAAUGACGUUAACCCAUCACGCAUGAGCUGGGAGGGAACAAGGAAGAUCAGGCACAAAAACAAUAAUUUCUCUUACAUGCAUCUAACAGUUAUAAAAGCUGCACAGCUUGACGCCCAAAAAGCCGCCACGAUAAUCAUAACAACCGCUCUAUUUUCUGGCUUUCGGUAUUUACUUUGGUGCCUUCAACUUUGUUAUCUCAGUAUUGCACAGAGUGAGGACAGUGAGCAAUAAGGAAGGGCUCGUCACAA